GCCAUGAGUCACAGCAGCUGGCUCAAGGCUGGGAGGGGAAGUAAAACACUAAAUCUAAGGACCACUCUAUUCACCCUACAGUGACUGCUCUUUUUCCCUCCUGCCACAGUCCAGGGUAGGAGAUACUUCUCCAGGCUCUCACUUAUGGGGGCUUUCCUGCUGGCUACAUCACUGAAAUGGAAUCUCCUAGUGGCCCUUCUCCCUCUACAGCUCUGGUGUUACACUGAAAAACUAGAAGUUUCAAAACAGACAAGGGAAAAAGAGAAACAUCAGAAAGUCUGAUUAAAGUAGAAGCAUCAUAUUUCUAUCAACGUAUCCACUGUGCUUGGACACAAUUGCAGGCCCUUGACAUCUUUUGCCUGGAUUAUUGCAACAGCCUCCAAAAGGACUCGUCUGUCUCCAUGAUACCCCUCCAUCCUCCUCUGCAUCAUCACCAAGGGAAUCUUUGUAAAGCAAAGGCAUGAUCAUGCUUAUCACCUGGUGGAAACCCUUCAGAGACUCUCCACUCCCCAGAGCAGGCACCACAUCGUUAGAGUCUACAGAAGGCAGGAGGAAACAGAAAUGAGUGCCGGGUCCAUAGGACUCUGUAAUAUUCACCGGCAGGAAAACCCAAGGGAAUGACUACUAUGACAUCUGAUGCUGCUCACUGAUGUCACUUAGAGGAAGGCAGGGGCACAAGAUGGGAGGACCCAGAGCUCCGGGUUCUUAAGCAUUAUAGUAUACAUAGCCUUGGAAUCAGAAGACCAAGAACAUACAAGAGAACAUAGCCUUGGAAUCAGAAGACCAAGAAACAAUUUAACUCUGCCCCUCUAGAGCUCUGAGAACUUGGGCAAGCCUUUUACCCUCUUGAAUUUUUGCCACCUUCAAUGAGAAAGACUGAAACAAAAAACUCAGAAGAAAGAAAGAGACUGAGAUAGCAAAUAUGACAAACUGUUAAAAAUUCAUGAAUCUGUUAUGGAAUACUAUGCAGCCAUAAAAAAGGAUGAGUUCCUGUCCUUUGCAAGGACGUGUAUGAAGCUGGAAACCAUCAUUCUGAGCAAACUAAAACAGGAACAGAAAACCAAACACCACAUGUUCUCACUCAUAAGUGGGAGUUGAACAAUGAGAACACAUGGACACGGCGGGGUGGUGGGAACAUCACACACCGGGGCCUGUCAGAGGGGAGGGGGCUAGGGGAGAGAUAGCAUUAGGAGAAAUACCUAAUGUAGAUGAUGGGUUGAUGGGUGCAGCAAACCACCAUGGCAUGUGUAUACCUAUGUAACAAACCUGCAUGUUCUGCACAUGUAUCCCAGAACUUAAAGUAUAAUAAUAAAAAGAGAGAUUAAAAAAAUUGGUGAAUCUGGGCAAAAUGUACACAGGAUUUUUCUGUACUGUUCUUGCAACUUUUCUACAGAUUUGAAAUGUUACAAAAUAAAAGGUAUUUUUAGAAAAAGAG
RNAcentral lists this long non-coding RNA (1435 nucleotides) under Homo sapiens (human). RNAcentral's name for it is "HSALNT0007639". The record is from RNAcentral. Lineage: Eukaryota; Metazoa; Chordata; Mammalia; Primates; Hominidae.